This 86-nucleotide small RNA is filed under the name Arabidopsis thaliana (thale cress). Its description in RNAcentral is "ATSL034090". Lineage: Eukaryota; Viridiplantae; Streptophyta; Magnoliopsida; Brassicales; Brassicaceae. The record is from RNAcentral.
AGAAGGAAACACUUCUUAGGCUUUUAAGAUCCGGUUGCGGUUCUAAGUCUUAUACUUAAUCAUACACAUGACAUCAAGUCAUCUUU